Long non-coding RNA from Physeter macrocephalus (sperm whale), 716 nucleotides. RefSeq lists it as uncharacterized. Lineage: Eukaryota; Metazoa; Chordata; Mammalia; Artiodactyla; Physeteridae. The record is from RefSeq and is a predicted model, not a curated record. The transcript has 6 exons.
GCCUCCGCGUCCGGAGCCUGUGCUCCACAACGAGAGAGGCCACAACAGUGAGAGGCCCGCAUACAGCAAAAAAAAGAAAAAAAAAAUUCCAGCUUUACUGAGUGCACAAGGGUUCCCAAGGAACAACUUUAAAGGCCUUCAUUUUACCAUUUUACAGUGAGCAGCAAUAUUUGAGAUGGUGGCUGCUUAAUCAACUUGGAUUCUACAGUAAAGAGGUGAUGACUUCCUCCACACUCAUGUGAAUGGGGCAAGAGCUUUGAAGGAGCAAUUCCUGCAUAGAAACAGACAAGAGAAAAAGAUCGUGAUGCUGAAGCUUCCAUCAGGGGAAGGGAAGAGAGAGAUUCAAAGAGCUCUUUUGCAAUAUCCUGCUAUGUGAGGACACAGCCAAAAUGCACCGUCUAUGAAGCAGAAAGUUGGAUCUCACCAGACACUGAAUCUGCCCGUGCCUUGAUCCUGGAAUUCUGGCCUCCAGAACUGUGAGAAAUUAAUUUCUGUUGUUUAUAAGCUACCCAAUCUAUGGUAUUUUGUUAGAGCAGCACAGACUAAGAGAGAGAUCCUGGCAAAAAGCAGCAACAGUCACUAUAGAAGGCACAUAAUGUGUUGCUUUCAAUUGACACAAAAAACAGUGUUACUUUCAGCCCUAUUUUUUUGGUCACUGUAUGGGUUUUGUACUUUUUCCCUAACUUUCCACACCCAUGGCCAUUUGGACUUUCUGC